RNA transcript from Rhinopithecus roxellana (golden snub-nosed monkey), 2411 nucleotides. It is a transcript of the gene named paraspeckle component 1, with no coding region annotated. Lineage: Eukaryota; Metazoa; Chordata; Mammalia; Primates; Cercopithecidae. The transcript is spliced from 8 exons. The record is from RefSeq and is a predicted model, not a curated record.
GAAUGCGCAGGCGCGUCAUUCCGGCGCCGGCUUUGGCGGAGGGGCGGGACUUGCACCGGCGUUUCUUCUUCUAACUGCAGUUUGUGGCAGCGCCAUUUUGAAUGUGCGGCUGCCGCGGGUGUGAGUCGGCGGAGGACGAGUUGCGGACUCGUCUACAUAGCGGUCUCUUGAUUGUCGAUAUUUUGUUGCCGUAGGUUUCUGUAGAGACGUAUACAUAUAUAUAGACACACUAUAUAUAAAUCUAGGCCUGUAUCCGGUGUCCGAGGCGAACUCACUAAGAUGAUGUUAAGAGGAAACCUGAAGCAAGUGCGCAUUGAGAAAAACCCGGCCCGCCUUCGCGCCCUGGAGUCCGCGGCGGGCGAGAGCGAGCCGGCGGCCGCGGCAGCCAUGGCGCUCGCGCUUGCCGGGGAGCCGGCACCGCCCGCGUCCGCGCAGCCGGAGGACCACCCGGACGAGGAGAUGGGGUUCACUAUCGACAUCAAGAGUUUCCUCAAGCCGGGCGAGAAGACGUACACGCAGCGCUGCCGCCUCUUCGUGGGAAACCUGCCCACCGACAUCACGGAGGAGGACUUCAAGAGGCUCUUCGAACGCUAUGGCGAGCCCAGCGAAGUCUUCAUCAACCGGGACCGUGGCUUCGGCUUCAUCCGCCUGGAAUCCAGAACACUGGCUGAAAUCGCAAAAGCAGAGCUGGAUGGCACUAUUUUGAAGAGCAGACCUCUACGAAUUCGCUUUGCUACGCAUGGAGCUGCCUUAACUGUCAAGAACCUUUCUCCAGUUGUUUCCAAUGAGCUGCUAGAGCAAGCAUUUUCUCAGUUUGGUCCAGUAGAGAAAGCUGUUGUGGUUGUGGAUGAUCGCGGUAGAGCUACAGGAAAAGGUUUUGUAGAAUUUGCAGCAAAACCUCCUGCACGAAAGGCUCUGGAAAGAUGUGGUGAUGGGGCAUUCUUGCUAACAACGACCCCUCGUCCAGUCAUUGUGGAACCCAUGGAGCAGUUUGAUGAUGAAGAUGGCUUGCCAGAGAAGCUGAUGCAGAAAACUCAACAAUAUCAUAAGGAAAGAGAACAACCGCCACGUUUUGCUCAACCUGGGACAUUUGAAUUUGAGUAUGCAUCGCGAUGGAAGGCUCUUGAUGAAAUGGAAAAGCAGCAGCGUGAGCAGGUUGAUAGAAACAUCAGAGAAGCCAAAGAGAAACUGGAGGCAGAAAUGGAAGCAGCUAGGCAUGAACACCAAUUAAUGCUAAUGAGGCAAGAUCUAAUGAGGCGUCAAGAAGAACUCAGGCGCUUGGAAGAACUCAGAAACCAAGAGUUGCAAAAACGGAAGCAAAUACAACUAAGACAUGAGGAGGAGCAUCGGCGGCGUGAGGAAGAAAUGAUCCGACACAGAGAACAGGAGGAACUGAGGCGACAGCAAGAGGGCUUUAAGCCAAACUACAUGGAAAAUGGUGAUAAAAGAAAACGUGGCUGAAGUUACAUGAAGUGCAGCUAGCAGUGUAAUUCAGAAGAGUUAAGACCAGAAGUACUGGAAUCAUACCUCCUUUCAGGUCAAAACAUUUUGUGGGAAAUACCCUGUUCGUGACCUGGAAGAAACAAGACAAAACAAAUCUUACCUCACUUACGAAUUUCUUACUCCAUACAGUUUAUGGAUGUCUGGGCAAUCAGCACUUUCCAUUUAAAAACAUGCUACAGGGGCACAUUUUCUGUGGUUAAAAAUGAUCUCUGGAAUAAUUGUAAACUGCAGUUUUCCUUUUUAUCGAGGGUUUUGGCUUUUUAUUUGUAAAUUAAAUCAAGAUGUUACCUACUCCUUGGUGUGGUGGUCUUGCUGGUUCAUGUUGGAAAGUAGUAUGGCAGCAAUGCACCAAUUCAGAAUAGCCAGCAAAUCCCUCCUUUCAACGCUCUGUGACUGGGAACCAUUAGAGGAUUUUUAAAAACCAUCCCUCAUAGCCCACAAUUUUGAGUCAACUCUCAAAGUUGGGAAUAAGAAAACUGGCAUUGUUGGGAGAAAAAUCGUUUUUACUGAAGCAUGAACUGGCUGAGGCAAGCAAAUAGCGGGAGUUGGCAGAGGAAGGCGAGCGUGCUGUGGGGACGCGUGGAGGCGUCACCUUCAAAACUAAAGUGCCAUGCGGACCGAUGAGUCCUUGAUCUUGUUCCCAUUUGACUGAAUUGUAAACCACUUCAUUGUCUUCACAGUCUUGCCACUUACCUAAUGAGGCUUUUCUGAACCUGGAAGGAGACGUCUAGAAAUCCCAGCUUUGCUGUGUAAGGACCAUUAGCUGCAAGUCAGCGGAAGUCUCUAGAAAGCAGUGUGAAUUCCAUAGUGGUCUUGACUUAGCAAGGAUUUGGGACAAGUCUAAAACUUCAGACUUAAAGCUUUGACACGUUAACUGCAUAAAAUAUUAAACAUUUUGAACUUCUUUA